Molecule: RNase P RNA, 398 nt
Filed under: Candidatus Zixiibacteriota bacterium
Lineage: Bacteria; Pseudomonadati; Candidatus Zixiibacteriota
Description: RNase P RNA component class A
Rfam family: Bacterial RNase P class A
About the family: Ribonuclease P (RNase P) is a ubiquitous endoribonuclease, found in archaea, bacteria and eukarya as well as chloroplasts and mitochondria. Its best characterised activity is the generation of mature 5'-ends of tRNAs by cleaving the 5'-leader elements of precursor-tRNAs. Cellular RNase Ps are ribonucleoproteins.
Source: RNAcentral
UAAGUAGGCGAAACGAUCGCGCCCUGACGGGUGAGGAAAGUCCGAGCUCCAGAAGGCGGGUCGCCUCUGAAACAGAGGGCGGAGUAAUCCGACGGAAAGUGUCGCAGAAAACAGACUUCCAGCACUACGCUGGUAAAGGUGAAACGGUGGUGUAAGAGACCACCAGCGGUUGUGGCAACACAGCCGGCUGACAAACCCCGACCGGAGCAAGGCCAAGUAAGCAGGAAGGUGUUGCCGGCACCGUCUGACCUGCGGGUGGGCCGCAUGAGGGAGAAAGCGAUUUCUCUCCCAGAUGGAUGAUCGUAAGCGGUUGUUUUGCCUGAGUACUGUUGCAUUUUGUGAGACAAUAUUCGGGCAAAACCGGCUUGACAGAACUCGGCUUAUUGCCUGCUUAAGCC